UGGGGAAUUUUGGACAAUGGGGGAAACCCUGAUCCAGCCAUCCCGCGUGUGCGAUGAAGGCCUUCGGGUUGUAAAGCACUUUUGGCAGGAAAGAAACGUCGCGGGUUAAUACCCCGCGAAACUGACGGUACCUGCAGAAUAAGCACCGGCUAACUACGUGCCAGCAGCCGCGGUAAUACGUAGGGUGCAAGCGUUAAUCGGAAUUACUGGGCGUAAAGCGUGCGCAGGCGGUUCGGAAAGAAAGAUGUGAAAUCCCAGAGCUUAACUUUGGAACUGCAUUUUUAACUACCGGGCUGGAGUGUGUCAGAGGGAGGUGGAAUUCCGCGUGUAGCAGUGAAAUGCGUAGAUAUGCGGAGGAACACCGAUGGCGAAGGCAGCCUCCUGGGAUAACACUGACGCUCAUGCACGAAAGCGUGGGGAGCAAACAGGAUUAGAUACCCUGGUAGUCCACGCCCUAAACGAUGUCAACUAGCUGUUGGGGCCUUCGGGCCUUGGUAGCGCAGCUAACGCGUGAAGUUGACCGCCUGGGGAGUACGGUCGCAAGAUUAAAACUCAAAUGAAUUGACGGGGUCGAUAC
RNAcentral lists this ribosomal RNA (577 nucleotides) under uncultured bacterium. Its description in RNAcentral is "partial 16S ribosomal RNA". It matches the Rfam family "Bacterial small subunit ribosomal RNA", at positions 355 to 926 of the family's 1533-position model. The record is from RNAcentral.